This 163-nucleotide small nuclear RNA is filed under the name Anas platyrhynchos platyrhynchos (common mallard). RNAcentral's name for it is "U1 spliceosomal RNA (ENSAPLG00000000403.2)". It matches the Rfam family "U1 spliceosomal RNA". Rfam says of the family: U1 is a small nuclear RNA (snRNA) component of the spliceosome (involved in pre-mRNA splicing). Its 5' end forms complementary base pairs with the 5' splice junction, thus defining the 5' donor site of an intron. Lineage: Eukaryota; Metazoa; Chordata; Aves; Anseriformes; Anatidae. RNAcentral also lists the same sequence under 1 other name. The record is from RNAcentral.
AUAUUUAGUGAGGACUGGAAACACCAUAUUCGGGCAGGUGAUUUUCCUAAGGCAAGGCUCAUCCCCUGCAAUGCCAGGUGUGCUGAGCCCUGCAGUUUCCCCAGAUUUGGGAAACAUGACUGCAUAAUUUGUUGUGGAAGGGGACUGCAUCUGCACCCUCCCC